RNAcentral lists this ribosomal RNA (496 nucleotides) under uncultured bacterium. RNAcentral describes it as "partial 16S ribosomal RNA". It matches the Rfam family "Bacterial small subunit ribosomal RNA", at positions 28 to 507 of the family's 1533-position model. The record is from RNAcentral.
GAUGAACGCUGGCGGCGUGCCUAAUACAUGCAAGUCGAGCGAACAGACGAGGAGCUUGCUCCUCUGACGUUAGCGGCGGACGGGUGAGUAACACGUGGAUAACCUACCUAUAAGACUGGGAUAACUUCGGGAAACCGGAGCUAAUACCGGAUAAUAUAUUGAACCGCAUGGUUCAAUAGUGAAAGACGGUUUUGCUGUCACUUAUAGAUGGAUCCGCGCCGCAUUAGCUAGUUGGUAAGGUAACGGCUUACCAAGGCAACGAUGCGUAGCCGACCUGAGAGGGUGAUCGGCCACACUGGAACUGAGACACGGUCCAGACUCCUACGGGAGGCAGCAGUAGGGAAUCUUCCGCAAUGGGCGAAAGCCUGACGGAGCAACGCCGCGUGAGUGAUGAAGGUCUUCGGAUCGUAAAACUCUGUUAUUAGGGAAGAACAAAUGUGUAAGUAACUAUGCACGUCUUGACGGCACCCAAUCAGAAAGCCACGGCUAACACGUG